GUGAAUCAUCGAAUUUUUGAACGCAAAUUGCACUUUCUGGUAUUCCGGAAAGUAUGCCUGUUUGAGGGUCAGUUAAAUAAAAAUCGGAGUAGUUGUUGCCUUUCGUGGUGACGCGCGGGAAUUGGGUCGUCUUACCUACGGUUAAGUGACUUAAAAUGUUGGCAAGAUUUUAGAAAGUAUUUAAAUCGAUUACGUACGUAUGAGAUAUCGAAUGCUAAUUCGGUUCGGUCAUUCCCAUGAUUCGCGCCUAUAAUUUUUCAU
RNAcentral lists this unclassified non-coding RNA (261 nucleotides) under Glomus sp. RNAcentral's name for it is "partial contains 5.8S ribosomal RNA and internal transcribed spacer 2". The stretch from base 1 to 71 matches the Rfam family "5.8S ribosomal RNA", at positions 84 to 154 of the family's 154-position model. The record is from RNAcentral. Lineage: Eukaryota; Fungi; Glomeromycota; Glomeromycetes; Glomerales; Glomeraceae.